RNAcentral lists this long non-coding RNA (408 nucleotides) under Homo sapiens (human). RNAcentral describes it as "long non-coding RNA NONHSAT168160.1". Lineage: Eukaryota; Metazoa; Chordata; Mammalia; Primates; Hominidae. The record is from RNAcentral.
GGAGCUCUGCUGGGGCUCUUGAGUGCCCAGGUUUGCUUGUGAGAGGAAUACAAGUGGAGCAGAGUCCUCCAGACCUGAUUCUCCAGGAGGGAGCCAAUUCCACGCUGCGGUGCAAUUUUUCUGACUCUGUGAACAAUUUGCAGUGGUUUCAUCAAAACCCUUGGGGACAGCUCAUCAACCUGUUUUACAUUCCCUCAGGGACAAAACAGAAUGGAAGAUUAAGCGCCACGACUGUCGCUACGGAACGCUACAGCUUAUUGUACAUUUCCUCUUCCCAGACCACAGACUCAGGCGUUUAUUUCUUCACUGUGGGUUUUCAGAUGGCCAGAAGCUGCUCUUUGCAAGGGGGACCAUGUUAAAGGUGGAUCUUAUAUCCAGAACCCUGACCCUGCCGUGUACCAGCUGAGA